UAUCCUGGACGACCCGGAUAAACGCCAUCUUAUUGGGGACGGCCCCA
This 47-nucleotide non-coding RNA is filed under the name Xenorhabdus doucetiae. RNAcentral's name for it is "Guanidine-II sequence". It matches the Rfam family "Guanidine-II riboswitch aptamer (mini-ykkC)". From Rfam's summary of the family: Simpler in structure and has fewer highly conserved nucleotide positions than the ykkC-yxkD leader. Despite this each of its two stem-loop structures directly bind free guanidine. Lineage: Bacteria; Pseudomonadati; Pseudomonadota; Gammaproteobacteria; Enterobacterales; Morganellaceae. The record is from RNAcentral.